Molecule: ribosomal RNA, 497 nt
Filed under: uncultured bacterium
Lineage: Bacteria
Description: partial 16S ribosomal RNA
Rfam family: Bacterial small subunit ribosomal RNA
Source: RNAcentral
GAUGAACGCUGGCGGCGUGCCUAAUACAUGCAAGUCGAGCGAACAGACGAGGAGCUUGCUCCUCUGACGUUAGCGGCGGACGGGUGAGUAACACGUGGAUAACCUACCUAUCAGACUGGGAUAACUUCGGGAAACCGGAGCUAAUACCGGAUAAUAUCUUGAACCGCAUGGUUCAAUAGUGAAAGACGGUCUUGCUGUCACUUAUAGAUGGAUCCGGGCGGCAUUAGCUAGUUGGUAAGGUAACGGCUUACCAAGGCUACGAUGCGUAGCCGACCUGAGAGGGUGAUCGGCCACACUGGAACUGAGACACGGUCCAGACUCCUACGGGAGGCAGCAGUAGGGAAUCUUCCGCAAUGGGCGAAAGCCUGACGGAGCAACGCCGCGUGAGUGAUGAAGGUCUUCGGAUCGUAAAACUCUGUUAUUAGGGAAGAACAGAUGUGUAAGUAACUGUGCACGUCUUGACGGUACCUAAUCAGAAAGCCACGGCUAACUACGUG